Molecule: long non-coding RNA, 1487 nt
Organism: Sinocyclocheilus rhinocerous
Lineage: Eukaryota; Metazoa; Chordata; Actinopteri; Cypriniformes; Cyprinidae
Exons: 2
Source: RefSeq, a predicted model, not a curated record
UGUACUAAUAAAAGAGCUGUUUCCACAGUGAGGUCCCGGAACCUGUUGUCCCUUCCGGAGCACGGGGGUCUGGACGAGCCUCAUCCCGUCGGGCUGGGCGGGGAUUAUCCUGAAUGGGACCAUCAGGUCGAAGUAAUGGCGGCUUGGCGUUUAGAACAGCAGCACAAACAGGAGCAGGCGGAGCUUCGUGAAGCAGAGCCCCGCCCACUUAUUCUAAACACCAAUGAAACACGAGCGCAAAAGGCCAUUCUCAUAGACCUGCACUCACACAGGUCAGAUCAGUGGUCAAACGAGACGGCUAAAGUCAUACAGCUGGAGAGGACCGUCAACGAGACGUCCUGAGAUCCCUGCAGCGGCGGGCCAUAGGCUUCAUAUUUAUAGUAUUGUUUUACUUAGAUGUCCUUUUUUAAAAUAAACACACAAACUCACAAAUGUAUUUUUAUUCCAUUCCAGCAGUAUAUCAAAUUUUGAUACUCGUGUACACUAUUUUCUUUUUUUAUAUGACUUGAAUUUUUGUUUUAAUAUUCUUUCUUUUCCUUUUUUCGCCUAUUUGCCCCAUGCUACUGAGAUUAUGUGUAGUAAUAUAUUGAAUUUGCAUCUGUUUUCAUAUUCACAUGACAACGAUGUAGCAUGUCAAUCGAAAUACAGUUCCAAAGAUUAAAAAAAUAGUGCAAAGAUUCAAACUGUAUUCAGAUUUUAGACUAAAAGCUCUGUUUGCGAGUUUGAAGAUGGCGAAUUUCCAAAGCAUUUGUCUGAAUAUGUAAAUAUUUGCAGUAUCCUGUAUUGUAAGUGUGUUGGGAGAGAUAUGAAUUGAUGUGAUUGAUAUCAGUGGAGAUGUUUGCGGUUGAGGGCGAUGAAAGCGGGACAGUAUGGGCUUGACAUGAAAAGGACGGAUGCUCUCUGUCCCUGAAGUCCCUCGUAUGACGUUGCCCUCUUUAUUAAGGACAGAUGGCCCUUUUUGUCCUCAUCUGGCCACCAUCCAACCCCCGUCUGCACUCUUGAGGGAGUAAAAGACGCUCGCUGACAAGUCUAGCGUUCUCUUGCUCUGAUAUGAACGACUGUGACGACCCGAGUCCCGAGCGAUCUGCGACUCACUUGCACUGCGUCCUCGUAGAAUUGAUCUGUUAUUUAUUAUUUUUAGCAUGCCUGCCAUCCUUUUAUCCUGGAAACAAGAGCAUUUCGAAGGAGAUGGUGUUGUCGUGAUGUGAUGCAUUCAGAUGCAAACAUUUGUCACGCAACAUCUGUGUCGGAAAUGGUGUGCAUUUCUUAUGUAUUUGGCAUAACGUCUUAACUAUAUUACACUUUCAUUGCAUCACAAUGCAAUCUCUGGCUCUUCCUGAAAUCACUCUGCCUUGUUUAUGUCCUGUAUUUUUCUGCGAGCAAAUAAAUAUUUUCCUUAGUAAAAGCAUUGUAAAUCAGGCGCCUGAGCCGUCGUUUUGCUGUGUAUCCAUGUUGGCUUUCUCUAUAUUAAAUUAGGCUGAUUUAUA